UACGUAGGGUGCGAGCGUUAAUCGGAUUUACUGGGCGUAAAGCGUGCGCAGGCGGCUCGGUAAGACAGGUGUGAAAUCCCUGGGCUCAACCUAGGAAUUGCGCUUGUGACUGGCGGACUCGAGUAUGGUAGAGGGGGGUGGAAUUUCCGGUGUAGCAGUGAAAUGCGUAGAGAUCAGGAGGAACACCGGUGGCGAAGGCGGCUCCCUGGGCCUGUACUGACGCUCAUGCGCGAAAGCGUGGGGAGCAAACAGG
This 253-nucleotide ribosomal RNA is filed under the name uncultured microorganism. Its description in RNAcentral is "partial 16S ribosomal RNA". It matches the Rfam family "Bacterial small subunit ribosomal RNA", at positions 524 to 776 of the family's 1533-position model. The record is from RNAcentral.